Vespula vulgaris is the source of this 2738-nucleotide long non-coding RNA. RefSeq lists it as uncharacterized. The transcript is spliced from 2 exons. The record is from RefSeq and is a predicted model, not a curated record. Lineage: Eukaryota; Metazoa; Arthropoda; Insecta; Hymenoptera; Vespidae.
GUUACAGCGAGCCGAUGUCAGUGCGAGUGCCAGAAGAUAUAUUAUAUCGAUUAGCGAUAAAGCGCGCCGGAAUAGACACGGGCAGACAGGUAGAUCGGUGGGUUGGUCGGUAGGUGGGUGAAGUAGGUAGAAGAACGUGGGUUGUGUGCUGUGUAAAAUUGUAUAUCCGUGUGCGUUCUCUUGCGAGAUCGAUCGAUCGAUCGAUGAUUUGAAAAAGAAUAUAUGAAUCGGGUAUAUAUCAACAAUUUAUUCCGAUCCGAUUUGUUGGAACCGAGUUCUCUCUUCGAAGGUCGUUGACUGAUCGAGUCGGCGAAAUUCGAGGUUGGGACGACGAGCUUCCAUGGAGAAAUGUGUCCCUGACGAGGACAUGCGAUCUCGCCGUUUGCCAGAAGCCAACCAGCGACAACGUCACUGCCACUGUGGAACGCAGCCUCGAAAACACUGGUACGACCGAUCAUUUUGUCUACCGAGAAGAGUAGAUCGACGUAUUCGGGCAACGAACUAUCGGCUAAGAAAAAAAGCAGAAAAAUUUUUAAAAAGAGCAAGAAAAUAAAAAGGAAAAGAAAAAGAAAAACGAAUAAAAGAAUGAAAACAAAGCUUCGCACUGCCAUUUGGAUGAUAUCGGCUACCUAGUCGUUUCUUCUCCAUUCUGUUCGACAGGAGGAACACUGCUCAUGCACUUAUGCGCACGCUCGAUCACUCAUCAACGAGGAGACCAUCCACGUGCUUCUAGCGAACGUGGCAUUAAGGAUCGACAUGUGUUACUAUCCUUUUUUCUCUUUCUAUUAAUAUUAUUAUUAUUAUUUUUAUUAUUAUUAUUAUUAUUAUUAUUAUUAUUAUUAUUAUUAUUACUAUUAUUAUUAUUUAAAUUAUAGAGGAUACCUCGUAGGUACCAUUCGUUGUAUACGUUUUACAAUUAGUCGUGUUAUUAGGCGAGGUCGUAUCUCUUCUAGUAGAUACGGAGGAGGGGAAAUGCCGCGAGUUACGCGCGAUGCUUUUAUUAACCUGCAACCGAGAAGCUGCCGGGUGUGAAGCCUCGUCCUUAACCUUUUCCCUGCUACUUUGUUUUACAACUGUUAUUGCGGUCUCUGUAGGCACCUAGUGCCGUUACUGCUGUGCUCACUUACUAUUCUCUCGCUACUGGAAGGAGUAGUACGCACACCAGGAAAGACGACGACGCGAUCAACAAGCAAUUCGAGAAAUAUAUGUAUUUACGUACAUACAUACACAACGCAUAGUUCAUACGUGUCAUGAGACAUAUACACACACGUGCGCAGAAACAGACACAGCUCCUCGUUACUUUUUCGAUCGUGCCUCUUCCUAUUUUUUUUCUUGAAUAGAACUAAAGAAAAGCGAAGAGGUUCUCGAUAACCUUCAGUUUUUUCUUUUUCUCUUUCUUUAUCUCUUUUUGUUUUUUUCUGUUUUAUACAAUAAUUUUUAUUAUUACUAUUAAAAAGAAAGAAUCGCUUGAGUGUUCAUUGACCCGUUCGCUCGCACUCUCCCGAUCGCGGAACGUACGCAAGAGAACAUGCGAGAUUUACACACUAGCACAAACGUGCGACUCGCACGUACACCGACGCUCAUCCCUGAGAAAGAGAGAAGGAGAGAAAAAGAGUGCACGCAAGUACACACAUAUGGUCGCACGCAUAUACGUAUGUAUAUAUAUAUGUGUGUGCGUGUGUGUGUGUGUGUAUACGUAAAGGCCGAGCGGCAGCACUUCUCGCGUCGUCAGGAAGCAGUUAACCGUGCACCCGUGCAUUGUUACACAUAACUUCUUUCCAUCGCGUCUCGCGGUGUGUUGUAACGCGCGAUCCACGCGUUUUAAAACCACGACAACCGCGUACUUUGCAUUCUUCUCGCAAUACGAACAUCCACGCGAGUAAAAGGCCGCCGCUACUCUUUGUGUGCUACGUACGCACAUUUGUGUGUGUGCACGCGCGCGCGCGCAUGAGGCCCGUAUGUGCUUGUACGCGCGUCUCUAUUCGUUGCGGUCGCGUUCUCUGGACGAUCAUCUUUCUCUUUCUCUUCUCGCAAUUCCUCGCGAGAACGAUCUUCCACCAGUUUCUUUUCUAUCUCUACAUAUAUAUAUAUAUAUAUAUAUAUAUAUAUAUAUAUAUAUAUAUGGAUAUACAUGUACGUAAACAAUACACACAGCGCACACUCACGAACACACACGACACACGACAAUGUGUACGAGUUACCGUAUUUUUUCUUAUUUUAAAGGACCGAUCGAUAAGCUACUCCUCGAGCAAAUCGUUCGUUCUAUCCUAUCUUCUUAUCUCUUCCUAUUCUCUUUUACGCCGAUUUUCUCCCUAAAUAUUUCAUUAUCAGUUUACUUAUUUUAUCACUUAUUAUUAUUAUUAUUAUUAUUAUUAUUAUUAUUAUUAUUAUUUUUAUUUUUAUUAUAUUAUUAUAUUAUAUCAUUGCUAUUUGUAUUAUUACAUAUCAUCCAUCAAUUGUUUUGUCCUCUCUCUCUUUUAAUUAUUAUCAUGUGCUUAAGCAAAUGUAGCAAAAACUUGUCGUUUGCAUGAUAAUGGAACAUAAGAGUAAAGUGCAAAUUAUAAAAAUUUUGAACGAACGUGUGCUUCUGUGUACGUGUGUGUAUAGAUGCAUGUGUGGCUGUUUAAUUGAAAGUUAUUGGAAAGAAAGAGAGGGAGAAAGAUGUGUAGAUUGAAAUGCUACUACACACGUUUAUAUAUAUAAAAAAAAAAUCUAAUAAAAAGAUACGUAUGCAUUCA